CCCUCCUCCUGUGGGACUCGCUGAGCUGGACGGAGGAGUGAGAGAGAGAGAGGGAGAGAGAGUGUGAGUGAGUGCGGAGCACGAGCGAGGAGCAACUUCGGGACUCGAACUGAUAACUGAUGAACGGGCUCCAAACCGAGUGCCGCGCAGCGCGUUCACGCUCGACCGGAAGAGGACGUAUCCGCCCGUGAAACGAUGACUUUCUGAGCGCUUCGUCCUCCGCCUGGCGCUCGUGCCCGCGCAGCUCCCAGAAGACCUCGAUGAGCGAGCGCGCUGCCUGUCGCACGGCGUCUCGCGCAGCCAGUAUCUCGACUCGCGCAGCACCUCGCGCCGCGUCCCAGCGCGAUAAGAGAAGCGCGAUCUUCUCGCCCGGGGCAACAUGAUGAUGAUGAUGAUGAUGAAGAAGUUGAGGAGGUUCGUGCAUCGCGGAGCCGCGGCGGCCUGCUGCUAAUUAUAUCUAUGGAUACAUUAAUAGAUACGUGAUUAUAUGUCAAUAAAAUGUAUAAUAAAGUGUAGCGGAGGCGUCGAGCCUGAGGAUCCGUGUUUAUUUACCGCUCAAUGUUUCAUGUUCUAGGAUUUGUGUCCUUCUGCUGCUCGUGGCGGGAUCGGCGCACGGGGGUGCGAAGAACCAGGAGCCCUGUGCAGGAGUCGACUGCAGCCGGGGGUGCGUCUGUAACCCGGAGAAGGGCGCCGCGGGUCAGCCGGGGCCUCUGGGACCCCAGGGGGUGGAGGGACCCCAAGGGUUUGCGGGAAGUGCAGGACCCCAAGGGCCCAAGGGUGAAAAAGGCCAUAUGGGAAUCAGAGGUCCAUCUGGUCCCAAAGGAGACAAAGGUCCAAUGGGUGUGCCCGGUUUCCCAGGAGCGGAUGGCGUACCAGGCUACCCUGGACAGAGCGGAGGAAGAGGACCUAAAGGACCGGACGGGUGCAACGGCACCGCCGGCGACCCGGGUCCGAGGGCGCAGGACGGGUUCCCGGGCCGGCCGGGCCCGCCGGGUCCGAGGGGUCCGAAGGGUCAGAAAGGAGAAGCGGUCUAUGCGGGAAGUGGCCAAGGCGGGGAGCCUGGUUUACCAGGGCUGGACGGCCUCUUUGGUCCUCGUGGUCCAACUGGGCUUCCGGGUUUCGUUGGUCCCAGAGGUCCGGACGGCCUUGCUGUACGUGCUUCGCUCGCUCUCGUCGCCGCUACCUCUACCCCCACCCCCACCCACCUUGUGUGUUCCCAGCGUUUUCUAA
RNAcentral lists this long non-coding RNA (1230 nucleotides) under Scleropages formosus (Asian bonytongue). Its description in RNAcentral is "lncRNA (ENSSFOG00015031495.1)". Lineage: Eukaryota; Metazoa; Chordata; Actinopteri; Osteoglossiformes; Osteoglossidae. The record is from RNAcentral.